This 107-nucleotide small nuclear RNA is filed under the name Sus scrofa (pig). The record is from RNAcentral. Lineage: Eukaryota; Metazoa; Chordata; Mammalia; Artiodactyla; Suidae. RNAcentral also lists the same sequence under 1 other name.
GUGCUUGCUGCAGCAGCACAUAUACUAAAAUUGGAACAACAGAGAGAAGAUUAGCAUGGCCCCUGUGCAAGGAUGACACGCAAAUCCAUGAAGCAUUCCAUAUUUUU